This 313-nucleotide long non-coding RNA is filed under the name Gossypium barbadense (sea-island cotton). RNAcentral describes it as "long non-coding RNA (GBAR_LNC002224)". Lineage: Eukaryota; Viridiplantae; Streptophyta; Magnoliopsida; Malvales; Malvaceae. The record is from RNAcentral.
UUGGAAAAUAGCCUUGUAUUUGUCCACACGGGUAGACACACGGGCAUGUGUCUAAGCCGUGUGUGACACAUGGCCUGCCCUCACGGGUGUGUAGUCUGACCGUGUGUCCCCUGCAUCUUGUACUUUAAAUUUGAAUUGGUCACACGGGCUGAGACACGAUCAUGUGUCUCGACCAUGUGAGGGACAUGGCUUUGGGACAUAGGCGUGUGCUUUGUCCGUGUGCCCCUAAUUUGGUGAUGAUGUCAUAAACAGAGAGUUACACAGGCUGAGAACAUGGGUGUGUCCCAAGCCACACGAGCGCGUGUGACACAUG